CGUAUUGGCUAAUUCCUCAAUUGAUAUUAUUUUACAUGAUACUUAUUAUGUAGUUGCUCAUUUCCAUUAUGUUUUCAUAAUCAUUAGUUUUUUAAUUGAAAGCUGGAAUGAAAGGUUGAAUGAGAAAAUUACUGUCUCUUAAAAAUUUUAUUAAAACUUUAUUUUUAAGUCAAAAAGCUUAAAUAAUAUUUAAAGACGAGAAGACCCUUUAGAGUUUUAUAGUAAAGUUAAAUUUAAUAUUUUAGAAUUUAUAUUUUAAGUGAAUUUUUACUAUUUGGUUGGGGUGAUCGAAAAAUUAAAUAAACUUUUUCUUAUUAAACCAUUAAUUUAUGAUUAAUUGAUCCAUUAAUAGUGAUUAUAAGAAUAAAUUACCUAAGGGAUAACAGCGUUAUUUUUCUUGAGAGUUCAAAUCGAAAGAAAAGUUUGCGACCUCGAUGUUGGAUUAAAAUUAAAUUAUGGUGUAGCAGUUAUAACUUUAAGUCUGUUCGACUUUUAAAAUUUUACAUG
RNAcentral lists this ribosomal RNA (507 nucleotides) under Carpophilus hemipterus. RNAcentral's name for it is "partial large subunit ribosomal RNA". The stretch from base 379 to 507 matches the Rfam family "Bacterial large subunit ribosomal RNA", at positions 2473 to 2602 of the family's 2925-position model. The record is from RNAcentral. Lineage: Eukaryota; Metazoa; Arthropoda; Insecta; Coleoptera; Nitidulidae.